This 752-nucleotide ribosomal RNA is filed under the name Bacillus sp. (in: firmicutes). RNAcentral's name for it is "bacterial SSU rRNA". It matches the Rfam family "Bacterial small subunit ribosomal RNA", at positions 79 to 816 of the family's 1533-position model. The record is from RNAcentral. Lineage: Bacteria; Bacillati; Bacillota; Bacilli; Caryophanales; Bacillaceae.
CUUGCUUUUGAAGAUCAGCGGCGGACGGGUGAGUAACACGUGGGCAACCUGCCUGUAAGACUGGGAUAACUUCGGGAAACCGGAGCUAAUACCGGAUAAUCCUUUUCCUCUCAUGAGGAAAAGCUGAAAGACGGUUUCGGCUGUCACUUACAGAUGGGCCCGCGGCGCAUUAGCUAGUUGGUGAGGUAACGGCUCACCAAGGCGACGAUGCGUAGCCGACCUGAGAGGGUGAUCGGCCACACUGGGACUGAGACACGGCCCAGACUCCUACGGGAGGCAGCAGUAGGGAAUCUUCCGCAAUGGACGAAAGUCUGACGGAGCAACGCCGCGUGAACGAUGAAGGCCUUCGGGUCGUAAAGUUCUGUUGUCAGGGAAGAACAAGUACCGGAGUAACUGCCGGUACCUUGACGGUACCUGACCAGAAAGCCACGGCUAACUACGUGCCAGCAGCCGCGGUAAUACGUAGGUGGCAAGCGUUGUCCGGAAUUAUUGGGCGUAAAGCGCGCGCAGGCGGUUCCUUAAGUCUGAUGUGAAAGCCCCCGGCUCAACCGGGGAGGGUCAUUGGAAACUGGGGAACUUGAGUGCAGAAGAGGAGAGCGGAAUUCCACGUGUAGCGGUGAAAUGCGUAGAGAUGUGGAGGAACACCAGUGGCGAAGGCGGCUCUCUGGUCUGUAACUGACGCUGAGGCGCGAAAGCGUGGGGAGCGAACAGGAUUAGAUACCCUGGUAGUCCACGCCGUAAACGAUGAGUGC